GAAAUGCUUCCAUGAGAUCCAACUGUAAGGCAUUUUUUCAAUUAGUGAUCAAUAGGGAAAGGCUCAGCCCAUGGUGGGUGGGGCCAUCCCUGGGCUGGUGGUCUU
Molecule: microRNA precursor, 105 nt
Organism: Cricetulus griseus (Chinese hamster)
Lineage: Eukaryota; Metazoa; Chordata; Mammalia; Rodentia; Cricetidae
Source: Ensembl